UGAUGAUCUGAUCCCUCAUCCUUUCAAGUCCCAACAGUCCUCAUUCUAGAUUGUCUAGGUUUAUGGCCCUCUUGUGGUUAGAAGUACCAUGAUCAGAGAUUCAGAGACAAUAGCAUCGUUGAAGUUGUGAAAUUAAUGGAAAUCCAGUGAAAUGCCACUAUCAAAGUCUCAAAGGCAGAGAGAGAGAGAGAGAAGCUAGGACCCUCAUAUUGUACAGUACCGCAGCAGCUGCGAUAUGUGAUUUUCCUUUGGAAGCUUUUGUUUCUUUAUCUGCAUCAUUAGUAAUCAGUCAGUGAAGGAAAGAGAGGAGGGAAACGUACUUGGUACUCGCUGCCAAUGGGUUGCACUGACUUGUCCUUCUCCGUCCCCUCUGCUAGUUACUAUUGCUUGCGGGUGCUAAAUCAACGAGUCCUUUAUUAGCCAGCGCGUAGCCGGUAUUCGUUCACGAGAAGGAAUGUCGACCAAGAACAACCGUAUAGAAUUAGUGUUGACUUGAUAUACAUUUUUUUGACUCAUUUCAAUCUUGAGUAUUGUUGUCUAACAUGAUAUAAAAGUCUUAAUUACGCGUCACAAGUUGCGUGAUGUAUUUGAAUUUGCUCACAAAGAAUUUUGUUAAAUAAGACAAUAGCCUAAUGCAUUGGUAUCGUUUUCAUGCAUGUUUGUCAUGCAUGUUUGUCUACAAAUGAAUACCUACUGUAAUGUUCUUGUCUGGCUGUUUUCUUUUUCCAUUUUCCGGGUAGACAAUUACAUUGUCAAGGAUUGCGGAUUUUUGGUAUCAAGCUAAUGUCAAUAAAAGCUGCAUCAAGCACCAGAACCUAGCUAAUUGCUGCAAAGGGUUUUAUUACCAAACCUACCGUAGUAAUUAAAGGUUGUCAACUUUCUACUUA
Long non-coding RNA from Rosa chinensis, 887 nucleotides. RefSeq lists it as uncharacterized. The record is from RefSeq and is a predicted model, not a curated record. The transcript is spliced from 2 exons. NCBI's taxonomy places the organism in Eukaryota, Viridiplantae, Streptophyta, Magnoliopsida, Rosales, Rosaceae.